UCAUGGACCACCAGCAAAGGGUACACAAUAUAUGCCAUAAAACUCAUAAAAAUUUCAAAAAAAAAAAUCUGGAUAAAAUCAGUGCCAUAAGGAAAGAGUUUUGGUUUCCUAAAAUUCUAUCUUAUAGAAUUUGAAAUCCAAACUAAUUCUUACUUUGACUUGAUCCACAACCAUAUUCCUAUUAGAUGUGUGCCCUAGAUAC
This 202-nucleotide long non-coding RNA is filed under the name Elaeis guineensis (African oil palm). Its description in RNAcentral is "long non-coding RNA (EGUI_LNC070927)". Lineage: Eukaryota; Viridiplantae; Streptophyta; Magnoliopsida; Arecales; Arecaceae. The record is from RNAcentral.